Molecule: ribosomal RNA, 1451 nt
Filed under: metagenome
Description: bacterial SSU rRNA
Rfam family: Bacterial small subunit ribosomal RNA
Source: RNAcentral
AGAGUUUGAUCCUGGCUCAGGAUGAACGCUGGCGGCGUGCCUAACACAUGCAAGUCGAACGAAGAGGCCCGCAAGGGCACUUCAGUGGCGGACGGGUGAGUAACACGUAGGUGACCUGCCCCGAAGCAGGGGAUAACGGCUCGAAAGGGCCGCUAAUACCCAAGAGCGUCUGGUGUCGAAACCAGAGGAGAGUUACGGCGUUUCGGGAGGGGCCUGCGGCCCACCAGCUAGUUGGUAGGGUAAAGGCCUACCAAGGCAACGACGGGUAGGGGGCCUGAGAGGGUGAUCCCCCACAUUGGCACUGACACACGGGCCAAACUCCUACGGGAGGCACCAGUGAGGAAUAUUGAGCAAUGGGCGAAAGCCAGACUCAGCAACGCCGCGUGGACGAAGAAGGCCUUCGGGUCGUAAAGUCCUUUUCAGGGGGACGAGAGAGGACGGUACCCCUGGAAUCAGUCACGGCUAACUACGUGCCAGCAGCCGCGGUAAAACGUAGGUGGCGAGCGUUAUCCGGAAUCACUGGGCGUAAAGCGCCUGCAGGCGGUCUAGUAAGUGGGACGUGAAAUCUCCUGGCUCAACUGGGAGGGGACGUUCCAUACUGCGAGACUGGAGGGCAGAAGAGGGAAGGGAAUUCCCGGUGUAGUGGUGAAAUGCGUAGAUAUCGGGAGGAACACCAGUGGCGAAGGCGGCUUCCUGGUCUGUACCUGACGCUAGGAGGCGAAAGCUAGGGGAGCGAACGGGAUUAGAAACCCCGGUAGUCCUAGCCGUAAACGAUGGAUGCUAGGUGUCGGUGGUCCUAACCCCAUCGGUGCCGAAGCUAACGCGUUAAGCAUCCCGCCUGGGGACUACGGCCGCAAGGUUAAAACUCAAAGGAAUUGACGGGGGCCCGCACAAGCAGCGGAGCGUGUGGUUUAAUUCGAUACUACACGAAGAACCUUACCCAGGUUUGACAUGCAGGUGGUAGAGAAGCGAAAGUGGAUCGACCCUUCGGGGAGCCUGCACAGGUGCUGCAUGGCUGUCGUCAGCUCGUGCCGUGAGGUGUUGGGUUAAGUCCCCUAACGAGCGCAACCCUCGCCGUCAGUUACAAGUGUCUGGCGGGACUGCCGACCUCAAGUCGGAGGAAGGUGGGGAUGAUGUCAAGUCAGCAUGGCCUUUAUAUCUGGGGCUACACACACGCUACAAUGGCCGGUACAAUAGGUUGCCAACCCGCGAGGGGGAGCUAAUCCUACAAAGCCGGUCUCAGUUCGGAUUGGAGGCUGCAACCCGCCUCCAUGAAGUCGGAGUUGCUAGUAAACGCAGGUCAGCCAUACUGCGUUGAAUACGUUCCCGGGCCUUGUACACACCGCCCGUCACGUCAUGGGAGCUGGUAACACCUGAAGCCGGUGGGCGAACCGCAAGGGCGCAGCCGUCGAGGGUGGGACUGGUGACUGGGACGAAGUCGUAACAAGGUA